RNAcentral lists this ribosomal RNA (215 nucleotides) under Prasinoderma coloniale. RNAcentral's name for it is "partial Eukaryotic large subunit ribosomal RNA". It matches the Rfam family "Eukaryotic large subunit ribosomal RNA", at positions 2980 to 3197 of the family's 3401-position model. The record is from RNAcentral. Lineage: Eukaryota; Viridiplantae; Prasinodermophyta; Prasinodermophyceae; Prasinodermales; Prasinodermaceae.
AGGUUAGUUUUACCCUACUGAUGACCUUGCCCCAAUGGUAAUACCGCUUAGUACGAGAGGAACCGCGGUUUCAGAUAAUUGGUUUUUGCGGCUGUCUGACCAGGCAGUGCCGCGACGCUACCAUCUGCCGGAUUAUGGCUGAACGCCUCUAAGUCAGAAUCCGUGCCGGAACGCGGCGAUUUCGCCCCGCACGUCGUAGUUGGAUACGAAUAGGC